This 492-nucleotide ribosomal RNA is filed under the name uncultured bacterium. Its description in RNAcentral is "partial 16S ribosomal RNA". It matches the Rfam family "Bacterial small subunit ribosomal RNA", at positions 30 to 507 of the family's 1533-position model. The record is from RNAcentral.
AUUGAACGCUGGCGGCAUGCUUUACACAUGCAAGUCGAACGGUAACAGGCCUUCGGGUGCUGACGAGUGGCGAACGGGUGAGUAAUGCAUCGGAACGUGCCCAGAGGUGGGGGAUAACGCAGCGAAAGCUGUGCUAAUACCGCAUGUGAUCUGAGGAUGAAAGCGGGGGACCAGGCAGCAAUGUUUGGCCUCGCGCCUUUUGAGCGGCCGAUGUCAGAUUAGGUAGUUGGUGGGGUAAAGGCCUACCAAGCCGACGAUCUGUAGCUGGUCUGAGAGGACGACCAGCCACACUGGGACUGAGACACGGCCCAGACUCCUACGGGAGGCAGCAGUGGGGAAUUUUGGACAAUGGGCGCAAGCCUGAUCCAGCAAUGCCGCGUGCGGGAAGAAGGCCUUCGGGUUGUAAACCGCUUUUGUACGGAACGAAAAGGCUCUGGCUAAUACCUGGGGCUGAUGACGGUACCGUAAGAAUAAGCACCGGCUAACUACGUG